Molecule: ribosomal RNA, 782 nt
Filed under: Rhynchostegium duthiei
Lineage: Eukaryota; Viridiplantae; Streptophyta; Bryopsida; Hypnales; Brachytheciaceae
Description: eukaryotic LSU rRNA
Rfam family: 5.8S ribosomal RNA (bases 296-448)
Source: RNAcentral
UGGAAAGAGAAGUCGUAACAAGGUUUCCGUAGGUGAACCUGCGGAAGGAUCAUUGCACACACAAGUUGCAGCCAACCCGCGGCGAACGAACACAUUGUCCCCCCCUUCGGCGCGUCGUCUCCCCUCGUCACGCGAGCGCGAGCUUCGUGGCGUCGGGUUUCCACACGAUGCAUCACCCGAAUGACUGAGUCCCGAAUAGACUUGGAUGGAGGAGUGGUUGCGUUCCGUGCCCUCGAACUCGAGGUGCGCGGCGCGCGCCGGUUACCUUACGACGAGUUGAAACUUAACAAAGAACAACUCUCAGCAACGGAUAUCUUGGCUCUUGCAACGAUGAAGAACGCAGCGAAAUGCGAUACGUAGUGUGAAUUGCAGAAUUCCGCGAAUCAUCGAGUCUUUGAACGCAAGUUGCGCCCGAGGCUUGUCCGAGGGCAUUUCCGCUAGAGCGUCACCGCGCCCCCCACCGAUCCGCUCCCGCCGCGAGGCGCGUGUCGGGUCGAGUGGAAGUGGCCGUCCCGGCGAAGCGGCCUUCUUUCACGAGGAGGCCGCCCUUGUCUAAGGGUCGGCUGAAAUGGAUGGAAUCGGGCCGCCGUGGUGACACAGUCCGCGAUCGGGUGAUUUCGUCGCGAGCCUCCUCCGUGAGGCUCUCGUUGAAUUUUUCUAAGUGCUUGGCUGCGUCCCCCAGUUGGCUCGGGUUACCUCAUGCAGGUCGAGCGCGUCACGCAUCAGACCUCUAAUCGGAAAAGACUACCCGCUGAGUUUAAGCAUAUCACUAAGCGGAGGAA